AGACACUAAUGUUAUCAUAUAUGCAAGUGAGGAUGAAAAGCUUGGUGGCUUCAUGGAAUAUGAAGAUGAAAAAAAUUGCAAAGUUUCUUAAGUGCUCAUCCGUCUAAUUUAUAUGUGAAAAGAUGAAUUCUUGAAUAAUCUUUAAAUAAUAACAAAGUACACAGGAGAACUUCUGGCUGGGUAUAGUACUCCCAUAAUGUCAACACAUCAGCAAAUUAUCCUUUGCAUACACUUCAUAAG
RNAcentral lists this long non-coding RNA (240 nucleotides) under Mustela putorius furo (domestic ferret). Its description in RNAcentral is "lncRNA (ENSMPUG00000024655.1)". Lineage: Eukaryota; Metazoa; Chordata; Mammalia; Carnivora; Mustelidae. The record is from RNAcentral.